Molecule: long non-coding RNA, 916 nt
Organism: Mauremys reevesii (Reeves's turtle)
Lineage: Eukaryota; Metazoa; Chordata; Testudines; Geoemydidae
Exons: 3
Source: RefSeq, a predicted model, not a curated record
AGGAGAGGAAGUGCGUGUGAGGAGCUGGGAGCAAGAGGCACAAGGAGCUGAGAAGGAGCUGUUUGCUGAGCUCUGGUUUCAGGCACUGAUUGCAUUUUUAGAUUUAUUUUUAAGAGCACUGAAGCAUCUGCACUUGAGAAAAAAGAAAUCUAAAGGAUUAAGUGUACUUUUCACAGAGCUGUAAAAUACAAGUUGCUUCAAAGAUUCAAAGGAGAAAUGGAUGAAAAAUGGACUCAUUAAUUCUGCUGCAAGUGUUUUCAAUUAGUGUCACUUGAUUUUCAAAGCUCAGAAUGUACCACCUGGAAUCACAGAGGAAAAACAUUACCCUAAGUAGUUCAUUUCGGCAUGAACUAGCUGUGCUCUGUGACCCCUAGCUGGGUAGGAGUUUUAUUUUUUAAAUGCUUGUUUAACCCAUUCAGACCAUGUCUCAUUGACUCUGCAGCCUUAAUUCCUAGUACCCAUGUGUCCCCUAUUUCUCUGAUUGUUUAGCCACAUGGUAAUGGUAGAGUUGUCUCUUGUGAGCAGAUGUAUUCCCUGGGUUCCCACUGUUCACACUAAUUGGAUUCCUUUGUUGUUUUCUGAGCACACUCUUGCGGUGCAGAUAUAUCUGGCAUCCACUCCUAACAGCUUAGACCAAACAACCCACUGCCCAGUCCCUGAAACUAGUGCUGGCCGCUCAGACUGCCCACUCCCCUACCCCCAUAGCUCCAACACACCCUCUCCUAGAACUCCACUCCAAGGUGUGAACCUUCUGUUUUACCUCUUCAGGGGUCCACGUGGUAAGUGUAGCAUGCUUCUGCUCAAAGCAUCUUUGUAUUAUAUAACACAUUAUUGCUCUUUACUUAACCACAAAAGAAAUACACAGAUCUAUACAAAAAUAAUAAAUCCUAAAACAUGCAUUUCCCUGCCUCAGUUU